UACAGAGGUCUCAAGCGUUGUUCGGAUUCAUUGGGCGUAAAGGGUGCGUAGGCGGCGCGGUAAGUUGGAUGUGAAAUCUCGGGGCUUAACUCCGAAACUGCAUUCGAUACUGCCGUGCUUGAGGACUGGAGAGGAGACUGGAAUUUACGGUGUAGCGGUGAAAUGCGUAGAUAUCGUAAGGAAGACCAGUGGCGAAGGCGGGUCUCUGGACAGUUCCUGACGCUGAGGCACGAAGGCCAGGGGAGCAAACGGG
RNAcentral lists this ribosomal RNA (253 nucleotides) under uncultured bacterium. RNAcentral describes it as "partial 16S ribosomal RNA". It matches the Rfam family "Bacterial small subunit ribosomal RNA", at positions 524 to 776 of the family's 1533-position model. The record is from RNAcentral.